GUGCUCCCCUUGGCACCAUAUAUGCUCAAAUUGCAAUAAUACCAAGAAGAGCAGCAUGGCCCCUGUGCAAAAGCAUGAAGCAUUUAAUAUUUUU
RNAcentral lists this small nuclear RNA (94 nucleotides) under Catagonus wagneri (Chacoan peccary). Lineage: Eukaryota; Metazoa; Chordata; Mammalia; Artiodactyla; Tayassuidae. The record is from RNAcentral.